Non-coding RNA from Arachis ipaensis, 1908 nucleotides. The record is from RefSeq and is a predicted model, not a curated record. NCBI's taxonomy places the organism in Eukaryota, Viridiplantae, Streptophyta, Magnoliopsida, Fabales, Fabaceae.
GGACACUUUUAAUAAUUUUGGCAGUAAUAACUAAACCUAAUUGCGAAUCGCAGAGGAGAGUCGUGAGCAACGAGCUUCUCCUCCAGUGGCUUCUUCUCCUCUAUUGAUGCGAGCUUCUCCUCUAUUCUUGUGAGUUUCUCUGCCAUUGAUGCGAGCUUUUCCUCUAUCGAACUUCUGCGCUCUAUGUUGUGUGAGCUUCUUACCCUAGCUCGUCUUCUCCGUGUCCGUUCUCACUUUUAGAAUUCAAAAAUGACAUCGCCGCUGCUCUGCGAGCUUCUCCUCCAUCAAUGAUUCUUCCCCUCCAUCGGUGUCAUGUCCGUCAAUGCUUCUCCUCUGAUGGUACAUUUGCUUCCAUUGAUGCGAUUUGCUAGGUUUUGAUUUUCUUCCUUGUUCAAUUUAUUUUUAGGAUUGCACGUUAAUAUUUAGAUAGAGUAUUGAAACAAAAAGACAAGUUGAAGAAACACAGUGCACCGGGAGAUUCCAGAAAGGAAGCCCAAGCAGCGCUGCUCAUAUUGUUGCAAUCAUUCAGUACUUUAUCAUCGGUGGAGGUAGCAAAGCAAGAACUGCUGGAAAUUCAAGAAGGAAAAAGUAACCUCAAGGCUAAGGAGCCACUUCUUCAAUGCAUUCAUGCUUACAGGGAGGGAGCAAGAUGACUACGAGGUUGUGAGGAAGGUGGGAAGAGGGAAAUACAAUGAGGUCUUUGAUCUGAGGGCGUUCACUCCACCGAUAAUGAAAAAUGCAUCUGAUAAUGAAUCGACAAAAUACAGACAACCUAGUAGAGAAUCUAUUGGAUUUUGAGUAUGAACUUAAGAAGCCAUACCUAUUAUAUCGGAAUGCGGCUCAAGAAGUUAAUGGUAUAUGGUUUUACAAUGAAGAUGAAUGUGAAGAAGUUGCAAAUCUCUUUAAUAGGAUACUUUCUGAAUACUCAAAGAUACCUCCAAAUGCAUUCUUUCACCUCUGUCACCGGGCUGGCAAGCAAAGCUAAUAUUCAACUCUCAUCAGAUAGGUUUGCCUUUAAUAAUAUGUCAUAAUCAUGAAAAAGAAAAGAAGGAAAAAUGUGUCAUCCAUUAUGAAAUUACAUGCACUAAUUCUGAACCCACUCAAAAUCUCUAUCUAUCUAUACUCAUUCUGCAUUAUCAUAAGCUCAUCAUCAUCUAUCUCUUUCUUAUUUUGGUUGAAGAUUCCUAAAUUUGGAUAUGAAAUUAUUAUAAUUGGAUAUGGUUUAGUAUGGGUAUAGAAAAAGAAGCUGAGGCUAAAAUACAAGGGGCAGUGAAGCUUUUAAAGUUCACUGGUUGUUCCAAAUUUCCAUUUUCAUUGUAGUCGCAGAAACAGAAAACCAAACAAUCAUCAAUCUUCAACCCUUUUGCAGAAAUUACUUAUCCUGUAUCUGAUUUCUGCUGCUAUUCUCAUUCACUCAGAGAGGAAGAGGGUUAGGACUGUGGAGUGUGUCACUGCUCAUUCUAGCUCUCCUGAACGAUGCAAUACCUCUAAACUAGAGCACAAUUUGAAGUCAAUUUCAAGUUAAUAGAGUCACCUUAAGUUGAGUGUUGGAGCAAGAAACAAAGAUGUUGGAGCAAGUUCCCGGGAUGAAACUCACACAAGAGAUCAAGAAACUAAGACAGGCUUGUUUUAAAGUUAAUUACAAAAGGAGGAAAUUUUUGGCCUCCAAAUCUUAUUCAUCAUCACUUAGCUAAGCUACUUGUCUUGUAUUAGAUGAAAAAGACAGCACUUAUUAGAUGGUUUAAAUACAUUAUUAGAUAUUAACAUAUUUUAAGGAACUGAAAGUGGUAGAUUUGACUGAUUAGUGUUUAUUGCAAUGUUUGUAUUUUGGUAAGUUUAGUAAGACAAGGUUUUGUAUAGGAGUUAUUACUUUUGAUUUUCAAUAAUAAAAAUUACAUAUUAGAUUAA